GACGAACGCUGGCGGCGUGCCUAAUACAUGCAAGUAGAACGCUGAAGGAGGAGCUUGCUUCUCUGGAUGAGUUGCGAACGGGUGAGUAACGCGUAGGUAACCUGCCUGGUAGCGUGGGAUAACUAUUGGAAACGAUAGCUAAUACCGCAUAAGAGUAGAUGUCGCAUGACAUUUGCUUAAAAGGUUCAAUUGCAUCACUACCAGAUGCACCUGCGGUGUAUUAGCUUGUUGGUGAGGUAACGGCUCACCAAGGCAACGAUGCAUAGCCGACCGGAGAGGGUGAUCGGCCACACUGGGAGUGAGACCCGGCCCAGACUCCUACGGGAGGGAGCAGGAGGGAAACUGGGGGAAGAGGCGGAAGUCAGACCGAGCAAGGCGGCGUGAGUGAAGAGGGUUGUCGGGUCGGAAAGCUCUGUUGUAAGGGAAGAACGAGUGUGAGAGUGGAAAGUACACAGUGUGACGGUAACUGACAAGAAAGGGACGGCUAACUACGUG
This 495-nucleotide ribosomal RNA is filed under the name uncultured bacterium. RNAcentral's name for it is "partial 16S ribosomal RNA". It matches the Rfam family "Bacterial small subunit ribosomal RNA", at positions 28 to 507 of the family's 1533-position model. The record is from RNAcentral.